AUACUUACCUGGCAGGGGAGAUACGGUGAUCACGAAGGUGGUUUUCCCAGGGAAAGGCUUAUCCAUUGCACUCCAGAUGUGCUGACCCUUGCAAUUUCCCCAAAUGUGGGAAACUCUACUGCAUAAUUUUUGGUAGUGGGGGACUUCAUUCUUGCUUUCUCCUG
RNAcentral lists this small nuclear RNA (164 nucleotides) under Cebus imitator (Panamanian white-faced capuchin). Its description in RNAcentral is "U1 spliceosomal RNA (ENSCCAG00000020084.1)". It matches the Rfam family "U1 spliceosomal RNA". From Rfam's summary of the family: U1 is a small nuclear RNA (snRNA) component of the spliceosome (involved in pre-mRNA splicing). Its 5' end forms complementary base pairs with the 5' splice junction, thus defining the 5' donor site of an intron. The record is from Rfam by way of RNAcentral. Lineage: Eukaryota; Metazoa; Chordata; Mammalia; Primates; Cebidae.